RNAcentral lists this non-coding RNA (90 nucleotides) under human gut metagenome. RNAcentral describes it as "Cyclic di-GMP-I riboswitch". It matches the Rfam family "c-di-GMP-I riboswitch aptamer", at positions 6 to 83 of the family's 87-position model. From Rfam's summary of the family: GEMM was predicted in a large-scale screen for bacterial structured RNA regulatory elements. Genes associated with GEMM are involved in a diverse array of functions, including chemotaxis regulation, signal transduction, secretion and chitin. The record is from RNAcentral.
UAUAUUGGCAAACCUGUCGAAAGACAGGGACGCAAAGCCAGAUGGGUCUAACGCCCGCUCCCUCGGGAGCGUGUUAUGACAGCCGGUUGC